AAAUUUGAAAAGCCAAUGACCUGAAGAUUUUCUGGUCUUUUCUUACCUGGACACGAAUUAUUAUUUGCUCAGCAGGAAUUAAUAAGAAGCUCACAAAAAUGGUGAAAAAAACUGAAGGUGGCCAAAGAAAAGAAAAGUUUAAGGAGCCAAAAAAAGUAAAGGUAACAUUGGGUUAACCUCUUUGUCAGUCACUAACUCUUCUUGGUGAGCUCACGGGUUAAGUUUGGUUUAGUCUCACGGGUUAACCUCUUUGUCUGGUUAAUUGGUACCAUGGUUAAAUCCAUCACCAGUUUUAUCAUCACUUUGACUUUUUAUUCAUCAUAAUCUUUCCUUUCUUAACAACUAAACUCUUUAUCAUCAGCAUUUUGCAAGAACAAUGAAGAGCCAAGACAAAAAAUGAACAGACCAAACUGAGAAACUGGUCAUCAAAGGCUAGGUUAACAGGUUAACACUAUGGAUUAGUUAAUUACUUUACCUGAAAAGCCUUCAUAUUGUGCGAUAAUUAAACCUGUCAACAAUCAGCGUGUGUUCAGUGGAAAUUAAAGAUUAUUUCUGGAUUUUCUCAAAACCAAAUUCAACCCAAAUGUUAACCCAAAGACCAACCAAAUCCACCAGGAAAUCAACAACCGGACAAACCCCAAGACCAGAUUGGCCAAAGGAGCAAAAGAUAAAUCACAAGAGCAACUAAAAUGGCCAAAAGUUUAACCAAAACAGCAAUCAAAUGGAUUCAAAUUGUGGCCCAUCUUGUUCACACAUCUGGGAAUUAGAGUCUAAAUUGUUAGUCAAGUUGAACGGCAAUUUCAUAAUCAACUAUCACUGGAUUGUUACGAAGCAAAAGCACGCUUUACCCAAACACCAACGUACAGAAUCACAAUAAUUGUUUUCACAUCAUUAAUCUUCAAUUCUGUCUCCCUUUGAGCCCGAUAAACGGAUCCUUUCCUGAACUGAUACUAACCAUGUUAGUUUGUGUUAAAUCAAUUACAUUGCUACAUUAAUGACUUCUAAAUCACGUUAAAUAAUUUAAAGUGAACAAUAUCAUGAAUGGUAAAUUUUCAUAAUGAUAAAUCUAAAAGGUGAGCUUCUCUUGAACAAUGAAUAACCAUUAAUCUAUGAAUUUAAUUUACAGUAUACUUUUAGAUUUCAAAUGUAAUUGUA
Non-coding RNA from Tetranychus urticae (two-spotted spider mite), 1155 nucleotides. NCBI's taxonomy places the organism in Eukaryota, Metazoa, Arthropoda, Arachnida, Trombidiformes, Tetranychidae. The record is from RefSeq and is a predicted model, not a curated record.